This is an RNA transcript of Nasonia vitripennis (jewel wasp), 4989 nucleotides long. It is a transcript of the gene named multidrug resistance-associated protein 4, with no coding region annotated. Lineage: Eukaryota; Metazoa; Arthropoda; Insecta; Hymenoptera; Pteromalidae. The transcript is spliced from 17 exons. The record is from RefSeq and is a predicted model, not a curated record.
ACCAGGAUAUCAUUUUAAGUGCCUGAAAGUGCUAGAGCAACCGAUAUGCCCAUAUCAUCAAGUACAUUUACAGAGCCGUUUGAAAUUGAAUGAUUGGCUAAUUGUUGGUUAUUCAUAGAGUCAAAACGUUAAAUUGACACGAUUACGAUUACGUACUUAAAGAUAAAAUAUUUUUCCCAGAAGAAAAUAUUUCUAAUCCACCUUACCUGCCUUGUUUUAAUUGUUCGCUCAGCCCAGCACCAACCAGUUCGUUUAUUCUUUCCGUGUCUUCGUCCUUGUGUAAAUUCGAUAUCUUGAGUGCACUUUCCAAGAACUUUUACAAUUAUAUUCGUGGCAGUCGACUACCACUAUUAGUCCGACUGAAGUCGCGCUGUGCUCCACAACUUGCUGCUUCGUCUUUUCGAAGGUGAUAUUCCUUCAUGGUUGGCAGACUUGGUUUAGGGAGACCGAAGGAUUGACAAUAGCAGUUGUGAUUUUUGCGCAUUUAGGAGUGUGUGCUCCCGAUUUUAUGUGGCACGCGAGAUGAGAUAUUCUUAUAGACAUAGGAACGUAUCGUGGUUAUCUAUGGUUUGUGAUCAAAACGUGGAACCUUGAAGAUUGAUGAUAGUAGCUAGCGGUUUGAAGGCAAUUAAUUUUUUUUUUUUUUUAUACGCGCAUUGUUUCAGUAGCUUCGUAUGAUAAGUAGUGAAAAGCACAUAGACCUCGACUUUACUUAUAUUACAUGGAUAAGCAAUAUCCUGCAAUAGUCAAGACCGGUUUUCAAGAAAGGUCGCCGAAACUCGAUUUCGUCACGUGGCGCAUUUACGUAAAAUUUUCUUAAUGUGUUACCGUCCAUUAUUAGCAUUAGUUGGCACGAUGAAAAACUGAAAAUUGCGUAAUGAUUAACCAAAGCAGUGAUCAUUAGAGAAAGCACAAUGGAAACCAGUGAAAAAUUUGACAGUCCGAAUCCGAGGCUCAAAGCCAACGUAAUCAGCAAAAUAUUUUUCUGUUGGCUGAUCCCAUUGUUUUGCUAUGGUAGACGUAAUGAAAUCGAACCAAAGGAUAUUCACAAAGUUUUGCCGAGGGAAGUUAGCGAAACACUCGGUAAUCAGUUGGAAAGCUAUUGGAAAGAAGAAUUGGAAUAUGCCAAAAAUAAAAAAACAAAACCAAACUUUCACAAAGCUAUCCUCAGAACUUUUUUCUGGCCCUUCAUAUACAUUGGAAUCUACUCUUUCGUCCUGACCGUCGUCAUCAAACUGUUGCAGCCGAUAGCUCUGAGUCUUUUAAUCCGACACUUCUCUCCAGGUGCCACCUCGACUACGAACGAAGCUUACCUCUACGCUUCCGGGGUUGUACUCAUGGGGUUCAUGGAGUCCAUAAUAAUAUGCCACAUAACAUAUAGUGGCCGAGAACUUGGUAUGCAAGUCAGGGUCGCUUGCUCGUCUUUGAUCUACAGAAAAGUUAUGCGAUUGUCCUGUGCAUCGGCGAGUCAAGGAGGACACGUGCUUACCCUAUUGUCUAACGAUGUGACCAGAUUUGAACAAGUUUACGCAUUUUUAAACUACGUCUGGAUAACGCCUAUUCAGCUAAUAGUGGUAGCUUACCUUACCUGGAUGAGCGUUGGAGUAGCCUCGUUGGCUGGGAUAGUUUGUAUGGUCCUUCAGACAAUACCGUUGCAAAUUUACUUCGGGAGGCUAACACACGCGUUCCGUCACAAGAUAGCGGUGCAAACUGACGGCAGAGUAUCGUUGACAAGCGAGAUAAUCAAUGGAAUACGCGUGAUCAAAAUGUACACCUGGGAGCCAAUUUUCAAGAAGCUUGUCUGUACCGCGAGAAAACUCGAGCUGGCAGAGAUAUCAGUAUUGAACUACUUGAAAGGUGUUGUUUGGGCCUCAGGAAUGUACUCUGAGCGCACGUCAGUUUUCUGCUGCAUUUUGGUCUAUACCCUGCAAAACAACAUUUUGUCAGCAGAUAAAAUAUACUCAGUGGUUCAGCUUUUCUGCGUGCUGCAAUUUACUUUUGGUUCCUUGGUUCCUCGGGGCUUGCAUUUUUAUGCAGAGUCUCAGGUAUCGGCCAUCAGGAUUCAGAAUUUUUUACUAUCUGAGGAAAUUGAGACCACCGAUCGAAAACGGGUCAAGAGCGGUGAAGCCAAUAUCUCUAUUUCGAAAGUGACGGCUUCGUGGACUAAGGAGUCGAUUACGGAUACUCUUCAAGAGGUCAAUGCCACUGUGCCGGCGAAGAGCUUGUGUGCUGUUGUCGGCCCUGUUGGGGCAGGCAAGAGUUCUCUUCUAAAAUUGAUAUUAGGCGAGUUACGGCCAAGCAUUGGUCGCGUGGACAUCCAAGGUAGUGUUUCCUACGCUAGCCAGGAACCCUGGCUGUUUUCUGGAUCUGUGAGGAACAACAUCCUUUUUGGGCAGUCCUACGACGAAGAAAAGUAUAACAAAGUGACUAAAGCAUGCUGUCUCACCGAAGACUUCAAGCAGCUUCCUUACGGAGAUCGGACCCUCGUGGGCGAGAAAGGGUCUGCUCUCAGUGGUGGUCAGUGUGCUAGAGUAAAUCUAGCUAGAGCUGUAUAUAGAGACGCUGAUAUCUAUUUGUUAGACGAUCCUCUAUCAGCGGUUGAUACCCGGGUUGGUAAACGCCUCUUCGAAGACUGCAUCAACGGAUACUUAAAAGGUAAAAUUCGCGUUUUGGUGACUCAUCAAAUGCAAUGUUUAAUCAAGGCAGAUGUGGUUGUUUAUCUCAAAAGGGGUAUCGUUGAGUUCCAAGGAGAUUUCGAGAAUUUCCAAAUGCACGACCAACAAUUUUUGUACAAGCAGAAAAAUCACGCUAACAAGAGGCAGCUUUCCGUAGAAAACAUGGUCGAAACAGAAGAUAAUGGACUUGUUGGCUUAAGCAAAUCCGAUGUUGACAACAAACAGGAAGAACCGAUAAAAAAUGAAGAACAGGUGGCGAAAGGAAGCUUAUCCUUGUCUCUCUAUUGGCAGUAUUUUAAAGCGAAUGGCUCAUACUGCUUGCUUUUUGUGUACCUCGUUGUAACUAUAUCGGCUCAAGUAUUUACCAGCGGCUCCGACUAUUGGGUGUCGUAUUGGAUUAAUCAAGACCAAACUCGUAUGAGAGUACAUUAUGCUGCCGAAGGACAAAAUAGUGAUGCGAAUGUAUCGCCAUACCUUGACCGAACGUUCGCACUUAAUGUUAUGGCAAUACUAGUGUUUGGUUGUGUCAUCUUUGCAACAGCGAAAAAUGUUUUAUUUUAUAUUAUUUGUAAAAGAUCGAGUUACAACAUCCACAAUAGAAUGAUCGAUUCCGUAUUGAAAGCGACCGUGAAUUUUUUCGACGCCAACUCGUCGGGUCGUAUCCUCAAUCGCUUUUCCAAAGAUCUUGGCGCUGUAGACGAGGUUCUUUCGUUAGCUAUGAUGGAUUCGUUUCAGGUAUUUUCCCUAGUAACUGGAGUUGUGGUUCAAAUAAUUAUAAUCCAUUGGUGGAUGAUCGUUCCAAUGUGCAUCAUGCUUAUUAUCAACAUCAACAUACACAAUGUUUAUCUCCAAACGGCACGCUGUGUUAAAAGAUUAGAAGGGAACACUAAAAGUCUUGUAUUGGCUCACGUUAAUUCAACCCUCGACGGUCGGCUAACGAUCAGAUCGUGUCAAGCUGAAUCAAUGGUCUGCAAAGUGUUCGAUCAUCACCAAGACGCCCACACCGCGACGUUUUCGCUCGUUCUUACAACCAGUACAGCCUUCGGAUUUUGGGUGGACUUGAUUGCAAUGUUCUUCGUUGCUCUCGUCACCUACAGUUUUGUUGUACUUGGUACAAACGAUUUCUCAGGAAGCGCUGUGGGUCUAGCCAUCACUCAGAUACUUUCCAUUACGAUUCUACUACAACAUGGUAUGAAGAUGAGUGCUGAGAUGGUCACGCAAAUGGUCGGAGUCGAAAGGCUUUUCCAAUUCACUCAUCUCGAAGAAGAAGGUCCAUUAGAGAGUAAGCCUGGAAAGAAACCUCCAAAAUCUUGGCCAUGUAAAGGAGAACUUGAAUUUGUGAAACUAAAUCUCAGGUACAACGAUGGCGCGGAUACUGUCUUGAAGAAUCUCAAUCUAAAGAUUGAGCCAGGAAUGAAGGUAAUCGAAUGUUGGAAUAGUUGGGCGGACAGGUGCAGGGAAGUCUUCUCUCAUAUCAGCGCUCUUUCGGCUCGUAAAAGUCGAAGGCGGGUUAAUCAUCGAUGGUGUAGAUACCACUAGUAUCGGCCUCAGGGACUUGCGCAGCAAACUCUCGAUCAUCCCUCAAGAACCGAUACUGUUUACCACGACUCUCCGUGACAACCUGGACCCUUUUCAUGAGAUUCCCGAUGAUGCGCUAUGGUCAGCUUUACAAGACGUUGAACUGAACAAAGCUUUUGUUUCUCUCGAUCAAUCGGUUGAUCAGAGUGGCGGCAGUCUAAGCGCUGGUCAGCGACAACUGCUGUGUUUAGCAAGGGCUAUUGUGAAGAGGAACAAGAUUCUCGUCUUGGACGAGGCUACUGCCAACGUGGAUCCAGCCACGGAUGCUUUGAUACAGAAAACCAUUAGAAUCAAUUUCAAAGACUGCACUGUAUUAACUAUAGCACACAGAUUAAAUACAAUUAUGGACAGUGAUCGAGUCCUAGUGAUGAAUUUUGGAGAAGCAGUGGAGUUCGAGCAUCCAUACAUUCUACUUCAAAAUCACAAUGGGUAUUUUUACAAGAUGGUUGAGCAGACUGGAAGUAUGAUGGCCAAGCGACUGGAGAAAAUUGCAGAGAAAGCUUACAAAAGUUAAACGUUUGCACUUACUGCUGAAAAUCGAAUCAAACUAAGCAUAUCAUGAAAAAGCGUAAAUUUUUCUCUUAUUCUAUCAACCCGUCGCAUUGUAUAUUACAUAAUAUCCAAUUCUAGAGCUACACUGUUUUCUUCAUUGUGCAUGUCAACCCUUUGCAUCAUGAUUUUGUAAUUAUUAUCAUAAGUUUUUAUAAUAAAUUCUUGCUGGUUAAUUAAAACAUAA